Cydia pomonella (codling moth) is the source of this 370-nucleotide long non-coding RNA. RefSeq lists it as uncharacterized. The transcript has 2 exons. The record is from RefSeq and is a predicted model, not a curated record. Lineage: Eukaryota; Metazoa; Arthropoda; Insecta; Lepidoptera; Tortricidae.
UGAGCCAUGGCUCAUGACGCCAGUGCUGAAUCCUGCCCCGGGAAGCCCAGAAGCAAGGUAGGUACACGGUCUGGCACUGUCGCGUGCGCAACACGAUCAAGCGUACCAAUGGGUACCUCAAAAACGUAUUCCGGUGCCUGGGCCACGACCGCGUCUUACACUACAGCCCGACGAAAGCAUCGUCAAUAAUAAAUGCAUGUUGCGUAGUAUACAACAUAAUGCAACAUUAUAGAAAUGUUCCCGAGGAAAUCGUAGGAGAUAUUGAUGAAGACGCUCCUCAAGAACUUCCUCGUCGUCAUGCGCAAAACGGACUACUAUUAAGAGUGGCGCAGGAAAAGCGUGCGCGUCUAAUAAAUACAUAUUUUGCUUA